This 301-nucleotide ribosomal RNA is filed under the name uncultured bacterium. Its description in RNAcentral is "partial 16S ribosomal RNA". It matches the Rfam family "Bacterial small subunit ribosomal RNA", at positions 509 to 809 of the family's 1533-position model. The record is from RNAcentral.
CAGUCGCCGCGGUAAUGCGUAGGUGGCAAGCGUUGUCCGGAAUUAUUGGGCGUAAAGCGCGCGCAGGCGGAUAGGUCAGUCUGUCUUAAAAGUUCGGGGCUUAACCCCGUGAUGAGAUGGAAACUGCCAAUCUAGAGUACCGGAGAGGAAAGUGGAAUUCCUAGUGUAGCGGGGAAAUGCGUAGAUAUUAGGAAGAACACCAGUGGCGAAGGCGACUUUCUGGACGAAAACUGACGCUGAGGCGCGAAAGCCAGGGGAGCGAACGGGAUUAGAUACCCCCGUAGUCCCUGUCUCUUAUACA